Molecule: ribosomal RNA, 627 nt
Filed under: Triticum aestivum (bread wheat)
Lineage: Eukaryota; Viridiplantae; Streptophyta; Magnoliopsida; Poales; Poaceae
Description: partial small subunit ribosomal RNA
Source: RNAcentral
AUGGAAGGGUCGACGGGACAUGCACGGAGGGCACUGUUUGGUGGCCUGGGACAAAGUCUUUUCGCCCGAGGGUACGGUGGUCUGGGAGUGCCCAACUUGCGCCUACUCAAUACUUCGCUGAGAGCGAGGUGGUCGUGGUUGGCGUGGACGGAUCCGGCCAGACCAUGGGCAAAAUUUAACCUCCAAGUCUCUCCGGACUCAAUUGCCAUUUACAUAGUAGACACGGAGUGCAUCAUGGGGGAUGGAGCCACGGUACUGUUCUGGACGGAUUGGUGGCUUCAGGAGGGACGCAUACACGAUAUCAUGCCAAACCUAUUCGGUGUCGUCAAGAAGAGCGCAACCAAGGCCAGAACAGUGAGAGAAGCACUGUCAUGGCAGUGGUGGCGUGACGUGUCAGCCAACAUGGACGCCCAGGCCAUACAAGAGUUCCUGAGAUUGGUUGAUCGACUACGGAGUGUCGAACUAGUGGAAGGGAUCGAUGACAAGAUUGUGUGGACUUGGAAAGAAAAUGGCUUGUUCUCCGCCCGGUCAGCCUAUCGUGGUCACUUUGCUGCACGAAUUGAGGCGGCAGGAGCCACGAAAAUAUGGAAGUCCAGAGCACCGGCAACUUGCAAGUUCUUCUCCUAG